CUCUUUGUGUGUUGCAAGAAGCAGCGGAGACAGAGGUUGUUCUUGAAAUUGGAGACAAUUUGCUUCGAGAGAGAUAAGUAGGUGGGGGAUGUGAGUAGUAUGCUAGUCAUAGGAUUAAAGCUGGUUGUUUGAAGUGGGUUAAAGUGGAGGAGUGACAUGAGAGUCUGAGUUUCACUUGAUCACAAAAUUUUUAAUAGGUUGAAAGGAAAAUUUUAUUGUACAGCUAUACGACUAGCUCGGCCAUGUUAUAUGAUAGUGGGUGUUGGACACUGAAGUAGUUGCAUGUGUCUAAGAUAAGAUUUGCAGAGAAGUGGGUGAGUAAUCAUACUAGACUAGAUAAAGUUCACAAGAGUAUUAAAGAAAAGAUAGGAGGAGCGGUGUUAAUCUAGGAAAAGUUGAGAGAAGAGAGGUUGAGGUGGUUUGAUCACGUGAAGCGUUAGACAAGUAGAGCACACAAG
This 458-nucleotide unclassified non-coding RNA is filed under the name Hevea brasiliensis (rubber tree). The record is from RNAcentral. Lineage: Eukaryota; Viridiplantae; Streptophyta; Magnoliopsida; Malpighiales; Euphorbiaceae.